This 253-nucleotide ribosomal RNA is filed under the name uncultured bacterium. RNAcentral describes it as "partial 16S ribosomal RNA". It matches the Rfam family "Bacterial small subunit ribosomal RNA", at positions 524 to 776 of the family's 1533-position model. The record is from RNAcentral.
UACAGAGGUCUCGAGCGUUGUUCGAAUUCAUUGGGCGUAAAGGGUGUGUAGGUGGCGCUGUAAGUCGGGUGUGAAAUCCUGAGGCUUAACCGGGAAAGGUCGUCGGAUACUGCAGGACUAGAGGACGGUAGAGGCGUGUGGAAUUCCGGGUGUAGUGGUGAAAUGCGUAGAGAUCCGGAGGAACACCAGUGGCGAAGGCGACACGCUGGGCCGUACCUGACACUGAGGCGCGAUAGCAUGGGGAGCAAACAGG